AGCCUGCUAGUUGCACGGGUUAGACCCGUAGCAGAUAGCUCAGUAACACGUGGCCAAACUACCCUCUGGAGCGCAAUAACCUCGGGAAACUGAGGCUAAUGGCGCAUACGGCUCGGUACCUGGAGUGGGCCGAGCUCGAAACGCUCCGGCGCCAGAGGAUGUGGCUGCGGCCGAUUAGGUAGACGGUGGGGUAACGGCCCACCGUGCCAGUAAUCGGUACGGGUUGUGAGAGCAAGAGCCCGGAGACGGUAUCUGAGACAAGAUACCGGGCCCUACGGGGCGCAGCAGGCGCGAAACCUUUACACUGCACGCCAGUGCGAUAAGGGGACUCCAAGUGCGAGGGCAUAUAGUCCUCGCUUUUCUGGACCGUAAGGUGGUCCAGGAAUAAGUGCUGGGCAAGACCGGUGCCAGCCGCCGCGGUAAUACCGGCAGCACGAGUGAUGGCCGCUCUUAUUGGGCCUAAAGCGUCCGUAGCUGGCCGAUCAAGUCCGUCGGGAAAUCCGCACGCCCAACGUGCGGGCGUCCGGUGGAAACUGAUCGGCUUGGGACCGGAAGACCAGAGGGGUACGUCCGGGGUAGGAGUGAAAUCCCGUAAUCCUGGACGGACCACCGGUGGCGAAAGCGCCUCUGGAAGACGGAUCCGACGGUGAGGGACGAAAGCUCGGGUCACGAACCGGAUUAGAUACCCGGGUAGUCCGAGCUGUAAACGAUGUCUGCUAGGUGUGACACAGGCUACGAGCCUGUGUUGUGCCGUAGGGAAGCCGUGAAGCAGACCGCCUGGGAAGUACGUCCGCAAGGAUGAAACUUAAAGGAAUUGGCGGGGGAGCACUACAACCGGAGGAGCCUGCGGUUUAAUUGGACUCAACGCCGGACAUCUCACCAGCAUCGCCAGUA
RNAcentral lists this ribosomal RNA (894 nucleotides) under Natronobacterium lacisalsi. Its description in RNAcentral is "bacterial SSU rRNA". It matches the Rfam family "Archaeal small subunit ribosomal RNA", at positions 47 to 944 of the family's 1478-position model. The record is from RNAcentral. Lineage: Archaea; Methanobacteriati; Methanobacteriota; Halobacteria; Halobacteriales; Natrialbaceae.